Molecule: ribosomal RNA, 704 nt
Filed under: uncultured Pseudomonadota bacterium
Lineage: Bacteria; Pseudomonadati; Pseudomonadota
Description: bacterial SSU rRNA
Rfam family: Bacterial small subunit ribosomal RNA
Source: RNAcentral
CACAUGCAAGUCGAACGGUAACAGGAAGAAGCUUGCUUCUUUGCUGACGAGUGGCGGACGGGUGAGUAAUGUCUGGGAAACUGCCUGAUGGAGGGGGAUAACUACUGGAAACGGUAGCUAAUACCGCAUAACGUCGCAAGACCAAAAAGGGGGACCUUCGGGCCUCUUGCCAUCGGAUGUGCCCAGAUGGGAUUAGCUAGUAGGUGGGGUAACGGCUCACCUAGGCGACGAUCCCUAGCUGGUCUGAGAGGAUGACCAGCCACACUGGAACUGAGACACGGUCCAGACUCCUACGGGAGGCAGCAGUGGGGAAUAUUGCACAAUGGGCGCAAGCCUGAUGCAGCCAUGCCGCGUGUAUGAAGAAGGCCUUCGGGUUGUAAAGUACUUUCAGCGGGGAGGAAGGGAGUAAAGUUAAUACCUUUGCUCAUUGACGUUACCCGCAGAAGAAGCACCGGCUAACUCCGUGCCAGCAGCCGCGGUAAUACGGAGGGUGCAAGCGUUAAUCGGAAUUACUGGGCGUAAAGCGCACGCAGGCGGUUUGUUAAGUCAGAUGUGAAAUCCCCGGGCUCAACCUGGGAACUGCAUCUGAUACUGGCAAGCUUGAGUCUCGUAGAGGGGGGUAGAAUUCCAGGUGUAGCGGUGAAAUGCGUAGAGAUCUGGAGGAAUACCGGUGGCGAAGGCGGCCCCCUGGACGAAGACUGACG